GUGGGUAUAGCUCAGUGGUAGAGCACAUACUGAGCAUGCAUGAGGUCCUGGGUUAAAACCCCUGUACCUCCA
Molecule: transfer RNA, 72 nt
Filed under: Camelus bactrianus (Bactrian camel)
Lineage: Eukaryota; Metazoa; Chordata; Mammalia; Artiodactyla; Camelidae
Also listed under: 2 other names
Rfam family: tRNA
About the family: Transfer RNA (tRNA) molecules are approximately 80 nucleotides in length. Their secondary structure includes four short double-helical elements and three loops (D, anti-codon, and T loops).
Source: Rfam by way of RNAcentral